This 1497-nucleotide ribosomal RNA is filed under the name human gut metagenome. RNAcentral describes it as "bacterial LSU rRNA". It matches the Rfam family "Bacterial large subunit ribosomal RNA", at positions 456 to 1977 of the family's 2925-position model. The record is from RNAcentral.
CCCCGUAAGGCUAAAUACUCCUUAGUGACCGAUAGCGCAUAGUACUGUGAAGGAACGGUGAAAAGGACCCCGGGAGGGGAGUGAAACAGAACCUGAAACCAUAUGUUUACAAGCUGUGGAACCAUGUUUUAUGUGGAACCGCGUACUUUUUGUAGAACGGUCCGGCGAGUUGCGCUGGCUGGCGAGGUUAAGCACCAAAGGUGUGGAGCCGAAGGGAAACCAAGUCUUAAUAGGGCGAAUGAGUCAGUCGGAGCAGACCCGAAACCGGGUGAUCUAUCCAUGUCCAGGUUGAAGUUGCCGUAAAAGGCAAUGGAGGACCGAACCCACAUCCGUUGAAAAGGGUGGGGAUGAGGUGUGGAUAGGGGAGAAAUUCCAAUCGAACCCGGAGAUAGCUGGUUCUCCUCGAAAUAGCUUUAGGGCUAGCCUCAUAUAAGUCUUGCGGAGGUAGAGCACUGAAUUUCCUAGGGGGCGUCAAAGCUUACCGAAGAAUAUCAAACUCCGAAUGCCGUGUAGAUGUUGUAUGGGAGUCAGACUGUACGAGAUAAGUUGGACAGUCAAAAGGGAAAGAGCCCAGACCUGCAGCUAAGGCCCCAAAAUGUGUGUUAAGUGGAAAAGGAUGUGGGAUUUCAAAGACAACUAGGAUGUUGGCUUAGAAGCAGCCAUACAUUCAAAGAGUGCGUAAUAGCUCACUAGUCGAGAGGUCCUGCGCCGAAAAUGUCCGGGGCUGAAACACACUGCCGAAGCUCAGGAAUGUACCUAGUACAUUGGUAGAGGAGCAUUGUAUACGGGACGAAGCAGUACCGAUAAGGAGCUGUGGACUGUAUAGAAGAGAGAAUGCCGGAAUGAGUAGCGAGAGGAAGGUGAGAAUCCUUCCGGCCGAAUAUCUAAGGUUUCCAGAGUAAAGCUGAUCUGCUCUGGGUAAGUCGGGGCCUAAGGCCAGGUCGAAAGACGUAACCGAUGGACAACAGGUUGAAAUUCCUGUACCUUAAGUAAACAGAACUGUGGGGACACGUGUGGAGAGCACAAGCCGGAAAUGGAAAAGCCGGUGCAAGCGAGGUAGGAGAUGAAUAGGCAAAUCCGUUCAUCAAUCCGAAGACGUGAUGCGGACCGAAUUAAGAGUAGGGAAGUGUGUGAGCCAUGCGUCAAGAAAAGCCGCUAUUGUUUUACUUAAGCCCGUACCGUAAACCGACACAGGUGGAUGAGGAGAGAAUCCUAAGGCCGACGGGAGAAGCAUUGUUAAGGAACUCGGCAAAAUGACUCCGUAACUUCGGGAGAAGGAGUGCCAGCGAGAGCUGGCCGCAGAGAAUUGGCCCAAGCAACUGUUUAGCAAAAACACAGGUCUAUGCAAAACCGUAAGGUGAAGUAUAUGGGCUGACGCCUGCCCGGUGCUGGAAGGUUAAGAGGAGAGGUUAGCGCAAGCGAAGCUUUGAAUUUAAGCCCCAGUAAACGGCGGCCGUAACUAUAACGGUCCUAAGGUAGCGAAAUUCCUUGUCGGGU